This 250-nucleotide ribosomal RNA is filed under the name uncultured prokaryote. RNAcentral describes it as "partial 16S ribosomal RNA". It matches the Rfam family "Bacterial small subunit ribosomal RNA", at positions 524 to 774 of the family's 1533-position model. The record is from RNAcentral.
UACGGAGGAUGCGAGCGUUAUCCGGAUUUAUUGGGUUCAAAGGGUGCGUAGGCGGAUUAUUGAGUCAGCGGUGAAAGCGUGUGGCUCAACCAUACCGAGCCUUUGAAACUGGUGGUCUUGAGUGCAAACGAGGUAGGCGGAAUGUGACGUGUAGCGGUGAAAUGCUUGGAUAUGUCCCAGAACUCCGAUUGUGAAGACAGCUUACCAGGAUGUAACUGACGCUGAGGCACGAAAGCGUGGGUAUCAAACA